RNAcentral lists this ribosomal RNA (253 nucleotides) under uncultured bacterium. RNAcentral's name for it is "partial 16S ribosomal RNA". It matches the Rfam family "Bacterial small subunit ribosomal RNA", at positions 524 to 776 of the family's 1533-position model. The record is from RNAcentral.
UACGUAGGUGACAAGCGUUAUCCGGAAUUACUGGGCGUAAAGCGCACGUAGGCGGCGCGGUAAGUCUGAUGUGAAAUCUCCCGGCUUAACUGGGAGGGGUCAUUGGAAACUGCCGAGCUUGAGGCGAUGAGAGGGGUGUAGAAUUCCCGGUGUAGUGGUGGAAUGCGUAGAUAUCGGGAGGAAUACCAGUGGCGAAAGCGGCACCCUGGCAUUAGCCUGACGCUCAUGUGCGAAGGCGUGGGGAGCGAACGGG